Long non-coding RNA from Mugil cephalus (flathead mullet), 976 nucleotides. RefSeq lists it as uncharacterized. The record is from RefSeq and is a predicted model, not a curated record. NCBI's taxonomy places the organism in Eukaryota, Metazoa, Chordata, Actinopteri, Mugiliformes, Mugilidae. The transcript is spliced from 2 exons.
AAAAGGAAGAAGCAGCCGCGGAGACAGAAAGACAGAAAGACGUGAAAUGAUCUGAGAGCGCUGAGUGUGUGAACGUGGGACAAGAGGAAACACGGGACGGGACGAGAGACGCUCAGACUCUGGGAGGGUUUCCUGAACACCGUGAAUCAGCGACGCUUCGGACCAGAACAACCACGUCUGUAACAUCAGCAUCACUGGGAAUGUUCUUCAUGCAUCCAACCAUGUGUGCACAUUUUGACCAGACAUGCAAACGUUCCCAAAGACUUCCCCCGGUAACAUAUGGGAUUAAACUGGACAACAUUCAGUGACCAGGCGAUGUAUUGAGAUGUGUAACAGAUGCAGGUCUCUGAGGACGGGUUUUAUCUACCAGAUCCCAGCGGUCGGCCCUGCUAUCGUGGACAAUGACCCUAAAGAGUGUCAACAGCUCAUUUCCACCAGAGCCGGGGUUUGUGUGCAUGUGUGUGUGAGACAGAUCUAGAUACAGAAAGAAGAACGUAAACUCAAAAGCUGAAAGCUUCAUGUGAUUGAUAUUAAAACGUUUCUGCAACACUCGCAGUUCUAUAUCCAACAAAUCAGCGAACAGAGGUUUGAGUUAAACGUUCUGUCUCAGUUUAACUCUGAGUGGAACUGCGACUGUUCAGAGAGAAUUUCAUUUGGGAAAAGAAAAAGGGCUGUUUGACAAUGUUUUUACAGCCAUAAACCAUCAAUAGAAAUUAUCUGGCAACUAGUUUUACACCUAAUUUGACCAUUUAAAAAAAAAAAAAUCUAUAUUUAAGAAGUAAUUCCAAGCAAUGGGUGGUUUCCACUUCCUCUUUAGAUUUGCUGCUUUAAUUGUUUUAUAUUGUUGGAGGGCUAAAUGGAAAAGAUGUUCUGUUUUGCUUAAUGGCGACUGAGUGAAUCAUGGAGAAUUUAAUAUUCAUUGGCUUCAUGUGUUUGUUAUUUUCCUCUAAUUGAUUAAAGGACGUGUAUCAGCCAA